GCUUCUAAUGAUGAUUUCAAAUACUUUCGUUCUUCCGAGAAACUCAAUGAGGAAGAAUUUGGAGACCUGAACUGAAGAGGC
This is a non-coding RNA of Daucus carota subsp. sativus, 81 nucleotides long. NCBI's taxonomy places the organism in Eukaryota, Viridiplantae, Streptophyta, Magnoliopsida, Apiales, Apiaceae. The record is from Rfam.